This 480-nucleotide ribosomal RNA is filed under the name Triticum aestivum (bread wheat). RNAcentral describes it as "partial small subunit ribosomal RNA". The record is from RNAcentral. Lineage: Eukaryota; Viridiplantae; Streptophyta; Magnoliopsida; Poales; Poaceae.
AUGGCGUAUGCAAGUGAUGAGAGUAUGUUCGAGUAUGUAAAUGUUGUUAGCAAGAUGUUUGAUAGUGAGGCUGAAGGCUAUGAAUUCUACAACAAAUAUGCUCUUGAAAAAUGUUUUAGUGUGAGGAAAAGCUACGUUGAGUGGGAUGGAUCCAACAAAUACAUAAUUUUAAGGAAAAUUGUGUGUAGUCGUCAAGGGUUUCGUGAAGAGAAGCACAUGAAAAGAAAGAUGGAAGAUAGAAAGAGGAGGCCACGAAGUUUAACUCGUGUUGGGUGUAAUGCUAAAUUGGUAAUUACGAGACAGGAGGAAACCGGUCGGUGGUUUGUCAAGGAUUUCAUCGAUGAGCACAGCCAUCCUCUAGCCCCACGGGAUCUUUCUUGUCUGCUGCGUUCGCACAGACGAAUUAGCGAUGAGCAGAAAGCGGACAUGGAAAAAUAUGGGAUCCGCAAAUAUCGUAUUAUGGAUAUUUUGUGCUUUUAA